This 437-nucleotide ribosomal RNA is filed under the name uncultured bacterium. RNAcentral's name for it is "bacterial SSU rRNA". It matches the Rfam family "Bacterial small subunit ribosomal RNA", at positions 954 to 1392 of the family's 1533-position model. The record is from RNAcentral.
GCUUAACGCGAAGAACCUUACCAGGGCUUAAAUGUAGUGGGACAGGUCCAGAGAUGGGCCCUUCUUCGGACUCAUUACAAGGUGCUGCAUGGUUGUCGUCAGCUCGUGCCGUGAGGUGUCAGGUUAAGUCCUAUAACGAGCGCAACCCCUGUCGUUAGUUGCCAGCGAGUGAAGUCGGGAACUCUAACGAGACUGCCGGUGCAAACCGUGAGGAAGGUGGGGAUGACGUCAAAUCAUCACGGCCCUUACGUCCUGGGCUACACACGUGCUACAAUGGCCGGUACAGAGAGCAGCCACGCCGCAAGGCGGAGCGAAUCUACAAAACCGGUCACAGUUCGGAUCGGGGUCUGCAACUCGACCCCGUGAAGCUGGAAUCGCUAGUAAUCGCACAUCAGCCAUGGUGCGGUGAAUACGUUCCCCGGGUCUUGUACACACCG